This 583-nucleotide ribosomal RNA is filed under the name Paracercomonas marina. Its description in RNAcentral is "LSU rRNA". The stretch from base 105 to 439 matches the Rfam family "Bacterial large subunit ribosomal RNA", at positions 31 to 540 of the family's 2925-position model. Lineage: Eukaryota; Cercozoa; Cercomonadida; Cercomonadidae. The record is from RNAcentral.
UUAUUAAAUUUUAUAAUUAUAAAAAAGAAAAUCUAUAUUAAUUGGUGCAAUAAUGUCAUAGAGACAGAAUAACUGUAAUGAAGCAAUAAAGUUUUUGGUAUCGGUCUAGUUAUAAAAUGAAAAUGAAAUAACAAAAUAUUUAAAUAAAUGAAACAUCUUAUUAUUUAAAAGAAAAGAAAUCAAAAGAGAUUCAAGUAGUAGUGGUGAGCGAUCCUUGAUGAAGUUAAUAAUAAGGAAUGCGGAUCGGUAGUAUUUUAAAGAAUACAUAAAGUCGGGUAGUAAUCCUCCUGCCUUCUUAUAACCUUAUUAGUUAGUUAGACCAGUUAGUAGAUAUUGGUUGAAUACAUUAGUACCACCUGCUAAACUUCAAUACAUUACAAUUAAAUUAUAGUGAAAAGUACUGCGAAGGAAAGAUGAAAGAAAGGUCUUCAAAGCACUGGUUUGAAAUGUAAUGAAUUUUUUAUAAUAAAAAUCAAUUUUUAAUUACAGGAUAAUUAUUUUGUACCUUUUGUAUAAUGGGUUAGCAAGUAAAAUAUUAAUGCAAUUGAACUGAAUUUACAAGAGAUAGCAUAGCCAAUAAUAG